AUACUUACCUGGUAGGGGAGACACCAUGAUCAGGAAGGUGGUUUUCCCAGGGUGAGGCACAUCCAUUUCACUUUGGGAUGUGCUGACCCCUGCGAUGUCCCCAAAUGUGGGAGACUUGACUGCAUAAUUUGUGGUAGUGGGGGACUGCAUUCGCGCUUUCCCUUG
Small nuclear RNA from Nannospalax galili (Upper Galilee mountains blind mole rat), 165 nucleotides. Its record names the gene U1. It matches the Rfam family "U1 spliceosomal RNA". Rfam says of the family: U1 is a small nuclear RNA (snRNA) component of the spliceosome (involved in pre-mRNA splicing). Its 5' end forms complementary base pairs with the 5' splice junction, thus defining the 5' donor site of an intron. Lineage: Eukaryota; Metazoa; Chordata; Mammalia; Rodentia; Spalacidae. The record is from Ensembl.